AAAGUACUCCCUCCGUCCCAAAAUUCUUGUCUUAGAUUUGUCUAGAUACGGAUGUAUCAAGUCACAUUUUAGUAUUAGAUACAUCCGUAUCUAGACAAAUCUAAGACAAGAAAUUUGGAACAGAGGGAGUAGUUG
Non-coding RNA from Triticum aestivum (bread wheat), 135 nucleotides. The record is from Rfam. NCBI's taxonomy places the organism in Eukaryota, Viridiplantae, Streptophyta, Magnoliopsida, Poales, Poaceae.